Molecule: long non-coding RNA, 256 nt
Organism: Xiphophorus hellerii (green swordtail)
Lineage: Eukaryota; Metazoa; Chordata; Actinopteri; Cyprinodontiformes; Poeciliidae
Exons: 3
Source: RefSeq, a predicted model, not a curated record
CUCGGCGCUUGCAAACGAUCACGGCAGCGUCGAACAGGAAGAUGUGUCUGCGGAGGGAAUCAAAGCGACGGCCAAAUGAAAAUCUGUCUCUCAGGAGAUGAUACUUCAACACCCGCUGCAUGGGAACCACAAGCAGGUCUCUCAAGAUGUCGUCCAGGGUGGUGAUGGCCGUCUCCACGUGACUGCAGUAUUUCCCGUAGAUCAACAACCUGCGUCCGGUCAGAGCAGAAGGACCCAACCGAUCAGUCGACACAAC